CUUUAUUGGAGAGUUUGAUCCUGGCUCAGGAUGAACGCUGGCGGCGUGCCUAAUACAUGCAAGUCGAGCGAAUGGAUUAAGAGCUUGCUCUUAUGAAGUUAGCGGCGGACGGGUGAGUAACACGUGGGUAACCUGCCCAUAAGACUGGGAUAACUCCGGGAAACCGGGGCUAAUACCGGAUAACAUUUUGAACCGCAUGGUUCGAAAUUGAAAGGCGGCUUCGGCUGUCACUUAUGGAUGGACCCGCGUCGCAUUAGCUAGUUGGUGAGGUA
RNAcentral lists this ribosomal RNA (272 nucleotides) under Bacillus sp. cl25. RNAcentral describes it as "16S rRNA. Bacterial SSU". It matches the Rfam family "Bacterial small subunit ribosomal RNA", at positions 1 to 259 of the family's 1533-position model. Lineage: Bacteria; Bacillati; Bacillota; Bacilli; Caryophanales; Bacillaceae. The record is from RNAcentral.